AUACGUACCGGACAAACGUUAUUCGGAAUAACUGGGCUUAAAGAGUGCGUAGGCGGCUUUGUAGGUGAGGUGUGAAAGCCCACGGCUCAACCGUGGAAUUGCGCUUCAAACCACAAAGCUUGAGGGAGACAGGGGUGAGCGGAACUGAUGGUGGAGCGGUGAAAUGCGUUGAUAUCAUCAGGAACACCGGUGGCGAAGGCGGCUCACUGGGUCUCUUCUGACGCUGAGGCACGAAAGCUAGGGUAGCGAACGGGAUUAGAAACCCCAGUAGUCC
RNAcentral lists this ribosomal RNA (274 nucleotides) under uncultured bacterium. RNAcentral describes it as "partial 16S ribosomal RNA". It matches the Rfam family "Bacterial small subunit ribosomal RNA", at positions 523 to 796 of the family's 1533-position model. The record is from RNAcentral.